This 541-nucleotide long non-coding RNA is filed under the name Mytilus galloprovincialis (Mediterranean mussel). The record is from RNAcentral. Lineage: Eukaryota; Metazoa; Mollusca; Bivalvia; Mytilida; Mytilidae.
GUGUGGUCGACAGUAAAACGUUUAUUAGUAAUUGUACUGAAAAGUUUACCUUUAACUUGUUUGUCGUGGGCGAUGAUUUUAUGCUCACUCAGUCUAUCGGAGGCCUUCAAGUGGGGAUUUAAAUAAUCAUUUGUUACACAUUUUGAUACAUAAAAUGAAACUUUCUUUUCACAUAUCAUUUAAGGAAUUUAUUUUAAAUAAUUGUUAUACCAUCACUUACAACAGUUUCACUUUUUAAGAAUAUUAAUGUCCAGAGCUGAUAUCAAUAAAUAAUAAUAAAAAAAAAAAGUUUAUUCAUGGUAAAAAAAAACAAAAAAACUUUUAAGUUAAUAGGGACCCGCGUUAUUUCAGAAAAUAUCUUAUUGAUUAAGAGAACAAAAACUUCUACGUUGUGAUCAUUUAAGAGUGGCCUUCUAUUUAUUCAAUGCUAACCAUGUGGGCUUUGUUUUUUUAUAUAUACCAUAAAUCGAUUCGUUCAUUCAGAUAUUUGUCAGUUUGCCUUGGCUCUUCAAGUCCAACACACAACUUCUCACGAAAUUGG